GAUGAAGAACGUAGUGAAAUGCGAUAAGUAAUGUGAAUUGCAGAAUUCGGUGAAUCAUCGAAUCUUUGAACGCACAUUGCGCCCCCUGGUAUUCCGGGGGGCAUGCCUGUUCGAGCGUCAUUUCACCACUCAAGCCUCGCUUGGUAUUGGGCAACGCGGUCCGCCGCGUGCCUCAAAUCGACCGGCUGGGUCUUCUGUCCCCUAAGCGUUGUGGAAACUAUUCGCUAAAGGGUGCUCGGGAGGCUACGCCGUAAAACAAACCCAUUUCUAAGGUUGACCUCGGAUCAGGUAGGGAUACCCGCUGAACUUAAGCAUAUCAAUAAGCGGAGGA
Molecule: unclassified non-coding RNA, 331 nt
Filed under: soil metagenome
Description: partial contains 5.8S ribosomal RNA, internal transcribed spacer 2, and large subunit ribosomal RNA
Rfam family: 5.8S ribosomal RNA (bases 1-120)
Source: RNAcentral